UAGGGAAUCUUCGGCAAUGGGGGGAACCCUGACCGAGCAACGCCGCGUGAGUGAAGAAGGAUUUCGGUUCGUAAAGCUCUGUUGUUAAGGAAGAACGAGUGUGAGAAUGGAAAGUUCAUACUGUGACGGUACUUAACCAGAAAGGGACGGCUAACUACGUGCCAGCAGCCGCGGUAAUACGUAGGUGGCAAGCGUUAUCCGGAAUUAUUGGGCGUAAAGCGCGCGUAGGCGGUUUUUUAAGUCUGAUGUGAAAGCCCACGGCUCAACCGUGGAGGGUCAUUGGAAACUGGAAAACUUGAGUGCAGAAGAGGAAAGUGGAAUUCCAUGUGUAGCGGUGAAAUGCGCAGAGAUAUGGAGGAACACCAGUGGCGAAGGCGACUUUCUGGUCUGUAACUGACGCUGAUGUGCGAAAGCGUGGGGAUCAAACAGG
Molecule: ribosomal RNA, 430 nt
Filed under: Bacteroidota bacterium
Lineage: Bacteria; Pseudomonadati; Bacteroidota
Description: Bacteroidetes bacterium partial 16S ribosomal RNA
Rfam family: Bacterial small subunit ribosomal RNA
Source: RNAcentral